GAUGAACGCUGGCGGCGUGCCUAAUACAUGCAAGUCGAGCGAACGGACGAGAAGCUUGCUUCUCUGAUGUUAGCGGCGGACGAGUGAGUAACACGUGGAUAACCUACCUAUAAGACUGGGAUAACUUCGGGAAACCGGAGCUAAUACCGGAUAAUAUUUUGAACCGCAUGGUUCAAAAGUGAAAGACGGUCUUGCUGUCACUUAUAGAUGGAUCCGCGCUGCAUUAGCUAGUUGGUAAGGUAACGGCUUACCAAGGCAACGAUGCAUAGCCGACCUGAGAGGGUGAUCGGCCACACUGGAACUGAGACACGGUCCAGACUCCUACGGGAGGCAGCAGUAGGGAAUCUUCCGCAAUGGGCGAAAGCCUGACGGAGCAACGCCGCGUGAGUGAUGAAGGUCUUCGGAUCGUAAAACUCUGUUAUUAGGGAAGAACAUAUAUGUAAGUAACUGUGCACAUCUUGACGGUACCUAAUCAGAAAGCCACGGCUAACUACGUGCCAGCAGCCGCGGUAAUACGUAGGUGGCAAGCGUUAUCCGGAAUUAUUGGGCGUAAAGCGCGCGUAGGCGGUUUUUUAAGUCUGAUGUGAAAGCCCACGGCUCAACCGUGGAGGGUCAUUGGAAACUGGAAAACUUGAGUGCAGAAGAGGAAAGUGGAAUUCCAUGUGUAGCGGUGAAAUGCGCAGAGAUAUGGAGGAACACCAGUGGCGAAGGCGACUUUCUGGUCUGUAACUGACGCUGAUGUGCGAAAGCGUGGGGAUCAAACAGGAUUAGAUACCCUGGUAGUCCACGCCGUAAACGAUGAGUGCUAAGUGUUAGGGGGUUUCCGCCCCUUAGUGCUGCAGCUAACGCAUUAAGCACUCCGCCUGGGGAGUACGACCGCAAGGUUGAAACUCAAAGGAAUUGACGGGGACCCGCACAAGCGGUGGAGCAUGUGGUUUAAUUCGAAGCAACGCGAAGAACCUUACCAAAUCUUGACAUCCUUUGACAACUCUAGAGAUAGAGCUUUCCCCUUCGGGGGACAAAGUGACAGGUGGUGCAUGGUUGUCGUCAGCUCGUGUCGUGAGAUGUUGGGUUAAGUCCCGCAACGAGCGCAACCCUUAAGCUUAGUUGCCAUCAUUAAGUUGGGCACUCUAAGUUGACUGCCGGUGACAAACCGGAGGAAGGUGGGGAUGACGUCAAAUCAUCAUGCCCCUUAUGAUUUGGGCUACACACGUGCUACAAUGGACAAUACAAAGGGCAGCGAAACCGCGAGGUCAAGCAAAUCCCAUAAAGUUGUUCUCAGUUCGGAUUGUAGUCUGCAACUCGACUACAUGAAGCUGGAAUCGCUAGUAGUCGUAGAUCAGCAUGCUACGGUGAAUACGUUCCCGGGUCU
RNAcentral lists this ribosomal RNA (1372 nucleotides) under uncultured bacterium. RNAcentral describes it as "bacterial SSU rRNA". It matches the Rfam family "Bacterial small subunit ribosomal RNA", at positions 28 to 1381 of the family's 1533-position model. The record is from RNAcentral.